CAGUUCGGAUUGCAGGCUGCAACUCGCCUGUAUGAAGUCGGAAUUGCUAGUAAUCGCGGAUCAGCAUGCCGCGGUGAAUACGUUCCCGGGCCUUGUACACACCGCCCGUCACACCAUGAGAGCCGGGAACACCCGAAGUCCGUAGUCUAACCGUAAGGAGGACGCGGCCGAAGGUGGGUUUGGUAAUUGGGGUGAAGUCGUAACAAGGUAGC
This 212-nucleotide ribosomal RNA is filed under the name uncultured bacterium. Its description in RNAcentral is "partial 16S ribosomal RNA". It matches the Rfam family "Bacterial small subunit ribosomal RNA", at positions 1289 to 1500 of the family's 1533-position model. The record is from RNAcentral.